UGCAGUCGAACGAAGGCCCUGGCUUGCCAGGAUCACCUUAGUGGCGAACGGGUGAGUAACGCGUGGGUAUCUGCCCUGGAGUAAGGAAUAACCAUUGGAAACGAUGGCUAAUACUGUAUACGCCUUACGAGGGAAAGGCUUCGGCCGCUCUGGGAUGAGCCCGCGUCAGAUUAGCUUGUUGGUGGGGUAAUGGCCUACCAAGGCUAUGAUCUGUAGCUGGUCUGAGAGGACGACCAGCCACACUGGGACUGAGACACGGCCCAGACUCCUAUGGGAGGCAGCAGUGGGGAAUAUUGGACAAUGGGGGAAACCCUGAUCCAGCAAUGCCGCGUGUGUGAUGAAGGUCUUAGGAUUGUAAAGCACUUUCGCCCGUGAAGAUGAUGACUGUAACGGGAGAAGAAGCCCCGGCUAACUCCGUGCCAGCAGCCGCGGUAAUACGGAGGGGGCUAGCGUUGUUCGGAAUUACUGGGCGUAAAGAGCGUGCAGGCGGUUUGUCUAGUCAGAGGUGAAAUCCCCAGGCUUAACCUGGGAACUGCCUUUGAAACUGACAGACUAGAGACCGGAAGAGGGUAGUGGAAUUCCCAGUGUAGAGGUGAAAUUCGUUAAUAUUGGGAAGAACACCAGUGGCGAAGGCGACUACCUGGUCCGGAUCUGACGCUGAGGCGCGAAAGCGUGGGGAGCAAACAGGAUUAGAUACCCUGGUAGUCCACGCCGUAAACGAUGAGUGCUAGGCGUUGGGGAUCUUA
Molecule: ribosomal RNA, 746 nt
Filed under: uncultured Rhodospirillaceae bacterium
Lineage: Bacteria; Pseudomonadati; Pseudomonadota; Alphaproteobacteria; Rhodospirillales; Rhodospirillaceae
Description: bacterial SSU rRNA
Rfam family: Bacterial small subunit ribosomal RNA
Source: RNAcentral